This 508-nucleotide ribosomal RNA is filed under the name uncultured bacterium. Its description in RNAcentral is "partial 16S ribosomal RNA". It matches the Rfam family "Bacterial small subunit ribosomal RNA", at positions 28 to 523 of the family's 1533-position model. The record is from RNAcentral.
GAUGAACGCUAGCUACAGGCUUAACACACGCAAGUCGAGGGGAAACGAUAUUGGAAGCUUGCUUCCGAUAGGCGUCGACCGGCGCACGGGUGAGUAACGCGUAUCCAACCUGCCCAUCACUUGGGGAUAACCUUGCGAAAGUAAGACUAAUACCCAAUGAUAUCUCUAGAAGACAUCUGAAAGAGAUUAAAGAUUUAUCGGUGAUGGAUGGGGAUGCGUCUGAUUAGCUUGUUGGCAGGGUAACGGCCCACCAAGGCGACGAUCAGUAGGGGUUCUGAGAGGAAGGUCCCCCACAUUGGAACUGAGACACGGUCCAAACUCCUACGGGAGGCAGCAGUGAGGAAUAUUGGUCAAUGGGCGAGAGCCUGAACCAGCCAAGUAGCGUGCAGGAAGACGGCCCUAUGGGUUGUAAACUGCUUUUAUAAGGGAAUAAAGUGAGUCUCGUGAGACUUUUUGCAUGUACCUUAUGAAUAAGGACCGGCUAAUUCCGUGCCAGCCGCCGCCGUAA